AGUACCAAGAGACAUCUAUCAGAGAAUUAAAAAACUUGAAGAUAAAAUCCUUGAAUUGGAGGGCAUCUCUCCUGAAUACUUUCAAUCUGUAAACUUUUCUGGAAAAAGAAGAAAAGUCCAACCACCUCAACAGAACUAUUCACUGGCUGAACUGGAUGAGAAAAUUAGUGCUCUCAAACGAGCCCUGCUCAGAAAGUCGAGAGAAGCAGACUCCAUGGCCUCUCACCACCUCCCGUGAGACCACACUGUCACGUUGCUUCCCUUUAAGAUGCGAGUGCGUGUACCUUACAAAUGCUUAACUAUUUGCAAUGUAUUCAUCAACAUAACCUUGUCUGGAAAGUCAAGGUUUACUUUUGCAUGAGACUGGCCGACAGCAAAUAAUCAAAUAUUGCAGUGUUUGGAAAUGAUAUAACCCUUGACCAUAGCACUGUUGGAAUUUGUUUCCUUCUGUUUUAAAGGAGGCAUUUUGGAUAGUACAAAACUUAAUUUGAAAGAACUUCUUUUGGUGGACCACCAGAGAUUUUUUAUUUUGAUAGUUGUAUUUAAAAGGACUUUAUAUUUGUAACAUUGAUUAACCAAUUUUUUUUUUCAGUUUAUAUCAGUACUUUGUACAUAGUGGGCAUUUAACAAAAUUUAUUGACAGUAAAACAAAAGCUGAC
This 659-nucleotide long non-coding RNA is filed under the name Rattus norvegicus (Norway rat). Its description in RNAcentral is "long non-coding RNA NONRATT025030". Lineage: Eukaryota; Metazoa; Chordata; Mammalia; Rodentia; Muridae. The record is from RNAcentral.